Vespa mandarinia (Asian giant hornet) is the source of this 2374-nucleotide long non-coding RNA. NCBI's taxonomy places the organism in Eukaryota, Metazoa, Arthropoda, Insecta, Hymenoptera, Vespidae. The record is from RefSeq and is a predicted model, not a curated record.
AUAAGAUAACAACGUCUAAAAUAACAUGGUCGCGAGUUUCUAUACUACAAGAGUUUCAUUUUCGUUUCCCCUUUAAGUAGUUCAAGAACAAAACAAAAUUCUUUUCGAAUUAGUAAUGUAAAGAAGUGUAAGAAAAGAAAAAGAAAAGAAACACGAAAAAUUGAACGUCCAAUACUUUUUAAAGCUCGAUUUAGAAAUUAACAAAUAAAUUUACCAAAAUAUCGAUUCUCUUGCAUCUUUUAUGGACCAGAUACGAGGAAAGCUUCGUUCUAAUUCGACUAACUAGAUUCCGAAGAACAUACAUAAAGCUUUCGCACGCAUUCACACAAGCUCCACGCACGUACGAUGUAAGCAAGACAGCUCUGAUGUCGAAGUCGCGAAUGAAUGUGUCUCGAUAACGAAAAGCUUUCUCCGCUACACUAGAACGACUCACAUCGUUAGACGAGUUAACGAGAAGCAAGCUAAUCGUGAUCGAUCGCGUCGAUCAGAAAUAACGACGGCAUGUCCAUGAUAAGCGUGUGACACACGUAGAACAGACGAGACAUCUGACAGUUACUAAUGUUCUCUGUUACUACUUGCUUGUCCGCCUUAUCAGUGACAAUUAUCACUACGUUCCGCGUUCUUACGAAUGUAUGUACAUAUGUACAAAUGUGUGACUGUAAUGGACGUGCUUCCGUUUCCUUUUAGUUAUGUGGAUGGCCUCUAACAAAAGAACGAACGAACAUAUUUAGUUAUAUGUACCUAAAUGGAACUUCUAUAAUCACAAAAGGAACUCAUUCGUCACUACAUUCAUUAUGAAAUCUCAGUAACGUCGUCAAAUAUAAGAAUAAUUUGACAUGGAAGGUUUCAAGGAAACCUUAUUUAAAUAAUGCACUGACAUUAAAGUAACGUUGUCGAUAACUAUGAUGUAAUAAUAAAUACUGAGAAAUAUCGCUAUACUUGGAAAAAUUGAAAGGAAUAAAUAUAGUUCGUUAAAUGAACGAAAGAUAAUUCACGUAUCGGAAACAUCCAACUAUUUAAUAAUCGUGUCGAUCAACAUGAUCACGAAGAAUAUAAUGACGUAACAAAAAUGUAAAGAAAAGAGAUAAGUAUUAUAGAUUUGCAAAGUAUAUACGAUGUUAAACUUUCUCGAGAGAACUGACACCUACAACGUUGUAGAGUUUGUGAAUAGUUUGAGGAUGAAAGAGUUAUAUAGUUUCAUUAUAUAGUUUCCUUGGACUUUCAGGUGGCAAACAAAGUAUGACCGAGCUAUCUCACUCUAUAUGGCUAACAGUUUCUACUCGCUCAGUAGUUAGACUUAAUGCUAAUAUUUGAUGUUCUCUUAAUCGUAAUAUCCGCUACGGUGCACGCACCUACUUAUGAAAUUUCUCAAAAUCAUUGCAGAAAGAAAGAAAAACCAAUAAAAAAGUGGGAGUAAGAAAAGAACAUUAAAGAAAGCAAAGUUAAAAGUAUAAGAUGUCAAAGAGAAAUUUCCCUAGAGGUAGAGAAAUUCAAUAUUCAUGGACAACAAUUUUAUUAACUAGAUUCAAAGAAGAAAAAUUAAUGAGGCUAAAAAAAUAUAUAAUAGUCUAAAGAUUUAUCGUUGGCCAUGUAAAAAGCUUACGAUGAAAAGAGACAAAGACAAAGUGAAAAUGAGAGAGAGAGAGAGAGAGAGAGAGAGAGAGAGAGAGAGAUAAAGCGGUAAAAGGAUUUACCGGAAGUGUGUUUGUAUCGGUCAAAGGGACGUUAAAGGGCGGGGGCUAAAAGCUCUUGGCGUAGCCGUUAGCGAACCUUCCUUCCUCUAGGUGACAGGAUGGAAAUUCGAGAGAAACGCAUUAAUGAAACUAAUAGAGCAAGCGCGACCGUACUCCUACUUCGAAGCAAGAUGAAACGUGGCGUAAAGUCGGUCAGGCUCGCGCUUCAAAGUGCCAACGCGGCUUUAUUAACUGGUUGUUAAUUUGACCUACGACUUGAACGGCCUUCUCUAUGUGUUGGAGAAUAACGGACUCGUGCCGUAUGACAAAAAGCUUGACUUCUCGACGUUCGACACCGCCCUUUUCAACGUUCUCGUCGAUCGACAUCCAUGCCCUUCGUUAAACAUGAAAACCAGAAAGCUUCAAUCAACACUCGAUGUUUAUACGAUUUCUUCGAAUAAAACGUGUUUUAUCAAUAUCCUGUUCUCCUGUCGCAAUAAAAUAUGUUAUUGUAAGAUAUUAUAUAGGAGUAAUCCAAACAAUUUAAUAUGUUUUUCAAUCUUCAAUUUUGGCAAAUUUUUGUUUGAAUUUAUUAGUUAAUAAAUAAUAUGCUAAAAUCUAGUUUGGUUCUUCCUCUUUACAUAUCGUAAGUGAAAAUUUUUAGAAAAGAUUUAUAACAAUACAAUACAAUACAUAACAAU